This 250-nucleotide ribosomal RNA is filed under the name uncultured bacterium. RNAcentral describes it as "partial 16S ribosomal RNA". It matches the Rfam family "Bacterial small subunit ribosomal RNA", at positions 525 to 775 of the family's 1533-position model. The record is from RNAcentral.
ACGUAGGGGGCGAGCGUUAUCCGGAUUUAUUGGGCGUAAAGCGUGUGUAGGCGGUUUGUUAAGUUUAAGAUUAAAGCCCGGGGCUCAACUCCGGUAAGUCUUAAAAACUGGCAGGCUUGAGUACGGUAGAGGCAAACGGAAUUUCUAGUGUAGCGGUGAAAUGCGUAGAUAUUAGAAGGAACACCAGUGGCGAAAGCGGUUUGCUGGGCCGUUACUGACGCUGAGGCACGAAAGCGUGGGGAGCAAAUAG